UUAUAAAUAGAACUCUAAGCAGAGUGGGGCCAUCAGGGCUUUGUCCAGGGCACUGAAUUCAAGGUGCUCUGGAUAGAAAGGGCAUGAGCAGGAAUGGGAGUUCAGAAGGUGAGUUACUUUCCUAUUGUCUCCUUCCCUAGGGUCUGCCCAAUGGUAACCUGGUACCAUCUUCUUCCUCUGCCCUGCUCCUCUUCAUCACCCCACCUCUUCAGCAUGGUCUCUGCUCCAGUUUCUACUUAGGUUGUCUUUUGUGACAUUUGAUACCUACUUGAGUUUGUUAUGAAGCCAAGAAUUCCUAGUCAUAGCUGUGGUUCUGAAAUUCUCUAAGGAAACCAAAAAUGUUCAGGGAGGGCCAAAAAUGCUGACCUUCAAAAGGAACUUUCUCCUAAGGCUCAUUGAGUAUUCAAGUCAGCUUCACCUUGGAAAUCUCUCUCUUUAAAGACUCAGUUGAUGCUUUACAUGAAACCACUCAGAUUUGGAUAAGGAAGACAAAAAAAAUCAACCCACCUGCUGCCACAUGUCAAGCAAUCUGAAGUGGGGUUGGCCUUUUUCAUCUUCUCUCAAAGAUGGAAGCCAGAAGUACUCAAAGUGACUUGACUUGAAGCUCGAUGCUUCCCAGAGGAGAAUGGCCUUGAAGGAUCUCAAAAGAAGACUGGUGAAGGGAAAGAAGUUGCUAUGGCAGAAAGCCGUGGAAAGAUUUUCUUCAGUGGUACUUUCAGAGAUGUGGCAACCAGGGCAGAGAUGGAGGUGGGAAGUCAAGUCAAGGCAAUACCAGGGAUAUAAAGAAUGUAAGAAAAUAAAACAGUUUUUGGCCUCAAAAAGCUCACAGUCUAAUGAGGGAAACAAUAUGACAGCAAUUCUGUCUCUUCCUUUCCUUCCUUCCUUCCUUCCUUCCUUCCUUCCUUCCUUCCUUCCUUCCUUCCUUCCUUCCUUCCUUCCUUCCUUCCUUCCUUCCUUCCUUCCUUCCUUCCUUCCUUCCUUCCUUCCUUCCUUCCUUCCUUCCUUCCUUCCUUCCUUCCUUCCUUCCUUCCUUCCUUCCUUCCUUCCUUUUCCAUGUUUAAAUUCACGUAGCUAUAGACAGAAUGCCACAGUGAAAAGCAUAUGGAAUUUACAAUUAGAGAACUUAGAUUCAAACCCUGUCUCUUCAACUCACUAUCUACAUGACCUUGGGCAAGUCACUUAAUCUCUGGGUAUCAAGUUCCUUAUCUAUAAAUAAGGGUUUGGGGCUAGACAGGCUUUCAUUUCUCUUGAAUUCUUAAAUUUCUAGGAUACCCUGAUAAUCCUAGGAUGUCCAGAUGAAAAUGAAGAUCAUUAUUAAAAAGGGAAACUUCAAACUGGGUCUUGAGUAUUGGAC
This 1354-nucleotide long non-coding RNA is filed under the name Monodelphis domestica (gray short-tailed opossum). RNAcentral describes it as "lncRNA (ENSMODG00000034490.2)". The record is from RNAcentral. Lineage: Eukaryota; Metazoa; Chordata; Mammalia; Didelphimorphia; Didelphidae.